This is a non-coding RNA of Camellia sinensis, 1076 nucleotides long. The record is from RefSeq and is a predicted model, not a curated record. NCBI's taxonomy places the organism in Eukaryota, Viridiplantae, Streptophyta, Magnoliopsida, Ericales, Theaceae.
CGGACAACCCCGAGAAGGAGGACCAUUCUGACUAUUGUUACAAGUUUGAAAUCCUCCCGCCAAAAUAGAAUCAUAAUCACAGAGAAGAGAGGGAAGAGAGAUGAAGGAAUACCAGCUUCAAACUCCAAAGAUGGAACAUCAACACUAAAAAAUUCGCAGAUCCAAGUCCAUCUUCGAACUCUCUAACAAGCCGCACAUAAAUAGCCAAAAGUGCUUGAAUUCUGUAUUUACAUCGGUUUCAGAAGACUUGAUCGAGUUCUCUUCUAUCUCAGAGAUUUCCGAGGAUAAUCAACUCCGUGAAUCCGCAGAGAGCUUCAUCGCAUCACCGAAUCAGGUGAUUUCGCCUUCAUUGGAGACAUUUUCUCCAUCUGAUCUCACUCCAUUGUCGUCCACUAUCACUGUGGACAAGGAUGAAGUAGUUAAUGUCUCAGUCGGUCAUUGCAGAUCUGCUGAAUCCAAAAAGAGUGUGGACAUUGUCUCUGUGGAGGCAGAGGUGGUGGUGAAUCAUCUCAAGCAAGCUCAAAUUCAAGUUAUGAAUUCAACAAAUGCUGAUCUCCAAUCUAAGAAGCUUUUGAAUGCAUUAAUUGAGGUAGUUAUCGAGGAAUUCAAUGCUUUGCGUGAAGAGAAAGAUCGGUUAGGUGAACUUGUUUCCAUGAAAACUCGAGUUGUGUUUAUGAUUUUCUUGCUGUGGAUCGUUGCUGUUUCGAUGUUUCUUCACUUCAGUUCUCGGGGACAAAGCUCCUUCAGUGAACGUCCACCAACAUGAAAUCUAGUGUGGUGGUCCAUCAUAAAUUGAUUGUCACCGAGAUGCCGAACUUCCUUUGCAGGAUUAGUUGGGACUACGGUGAUAACAAGAAAUAACUACGGUUAUAGGACAUGUCUUUCAGACUUCUUUUGUUUUUUGGACUUUAUAGUUGAUAUUAGUUUAUUUUUUUAUUUUUUUUUUAUGACCUUAGUAUUGAUAAUUUGGCAUUGUGGAUUUUUCUAACUUUACAUUAUUUAAGUUGUUUUGACUAUUUGUUACUACUUUAAUGUUGGAGGUAUUGAUUAGUUAUGAAUUUAUGAUAGAUAGUUUG